UACGGGGGGGGCAAGCGUUGUUCGGAAUUAUUGGGCGUAAAGGGCGCGUAGGCGGUGCGGCAAGUCUCCUGUGAAAUCUCCGGGCUCAACUCGGAGUCUGCAGGAGAAACUGCCGUGCUUGAGUGUGGGAGAGGUGAGUGGAAUUCCCGGUGUAGCGGUGGAAUGCGUAGAGAUCGGGAAGAACAUCAGUGGCGAAGGCGGUCUGCUGGGCCGUUGCUGACGCUGAGGCGCGACAGCGUGGGGAGCAAACAGG
RNAcentral lists this ribosomal RNA (253 nucleotides) under uncultured bacterium. Its description in RNAcentral is "partial 16S ribosomal RNA". It matches the Rfam family "Bacterial small subunit ribosomal RNA", at positions 524 to 776 of the family's 1533-position model. The record is from RNAcentral.